GACAGAGGUGGCUAGCGUUGUUCGGUAUCACUGGGCUUAAAGCGUGUGUAGGCGGGAGCGUAAGCAUUUUGUGAAAUCCCCCGGCUUAACCGGGGAAUCGCUUGAUGUACUGCGUUUCUUGAGGCAGGUAGGGGUGCGAGGAACUCUUGGUGGAGCGGUGGAAUGCGUAGAUAUCAAGAGGAACGCCGGUGGUGAAGACGUCGCACUGGGCCUGUCCUGACGCUGAGACACGAAAGCGUGGGGAGCGAACGGG
Molecule: ribosomal RNA, 253 nt
Filed under: uncultured microorganism
Description: partial small subunit ribosomal RNA
Rfam family: Bacterial small subunit ribosomal RNA
Source: RNAcentral